GACGUAGGGCGCGAGCGUUGUCCGGAUUUAUUGGGCGUAAAGAGCUCGUAGGCGGCUCAUUGCGUCAACCGUGAAAACCAGCAGCUCAACUGUUGGCUUGCGGUUGAUACGGGUGGGCUGGAGUUCGGUAGGGGAGACUGGAAUUCCUGGUGUAGCGGUGAAAUGCGCAGAUAUCAGGAGGAACACCGGUGGCGAAGGCGGGUCUCUGGGCAACAACUGACGCUGAGGAGCGAAAGCGUGGGGAGCGAACAGG
Molecule: ribosomal RNA, 253 nt
Filed under: uncultured bacterium
Lineage: Bacteria
Description: partial 16S ribosomal RNA
Rfam family: Bacterial small subunit ribosomal RNA
Source: RNAcentral